GCUGGGUGCAGUGGUGUAUGCCUGUUUUCCAUCCACUAAGGAGGCUGAGGCAGGAGGACCACUUGAGUCUAUAAGACUAGCCUGGGCACCAUAUUGAGACCCUCUCUCAA
This 110-nucleotide small RNA is filed under the name Marmota monax (woodchuck). Lineage: Eukaryota; Metazoa; Chordata; Mammalia; Rodentia; Sciuridae. The record is from RNAcentral.